AACGCUAGCUACAGGCUUAACACAUGCAAGUCGAGGGGUAGCAGGGUAGCAAUGCCGCUGACGACCGGCGCACGGGUGAGUAACACGUAUCCAACCUUCCCAUAACUCGGGGAUAGCCUUUCGAAAGAAAGAUUAAUACCCGAUAGUACUUUUUUAGGGCAUCUUAAGAAAGUUAAAGAUUUAUUGGUUAUGGAUGGGGAUGCGUUCCAUUAGAUAGUUGGUGAGGUAACGGCUCACCAAGUCUUCGAUGGAUAGGGGUUCUGAGAGGAAGGUCCCCCACAUUGGUACUGAGACACGGACCAAACUCCUACGGGAGGCAGCAGUGAGGAAUAUUGGUCAAUGGGCGAGAGCCUGAACCAGCCAAGUAGCGUGAAGGAUGAAGGUCCUAUGGAUUGUAAACUUCUUUUAUAGUAGAAUAAAGUGAUCCACGUGUGGAUUUUUGUAUGUAUACUAUGAAUAAGGAUCGGCUAACUCCGUGCCAGCAGCCGCGGUAAUACGGAGGAUCCGAGCGUUAUCCGGAUUUAUUGGGUUUAAAGGGUGCGUAGGCGGAAUAAUAAGUCAGUUGUGAAAGUUUGCGGCUCAACCGUAAAAUUGCAGUUGAUACUGUUAUUCUUGAGUGUACAUAAGGUAGGCGGAAUUCGUGGUGUAGCGGUGAAAUGCUUAGAUAUCACGAAGAACUCCGAUUG
RNAcentral lists this ribosomal RNA (686 nucleotides) under uncultured bacterium. RNAcentral's name for it is "bacterial SSU rRNA". It matches the Rfam family "Bacterial small subunit ribosomal RNA", at positions 32 to 715 of the family's 1533-position model. The record is from RNAcentral.